Molecule: long non-coding RNA, 494 nt
Organism: Pieris napi
Lineage: Eukaryota; Metazoa; Arthropoda; Insecta; Lepidoptera; Pieridae
Exons: 2
Source: RefSeq, a predicted model, not a curated record
UAAUUACAAUACAUACAUAAGAAACCAAUAAUCAAAUACAAAUUAAGUCAAGAAAACACAUAAAAAUGUUUUUUGGCUCUCUAUUACCUAUAUGUAGAAUGUGAAUUCAUUUAACAGGGCCAGUUUUUUCGUUGCAACAUAUUUGGUUGGUUGGUCCCUUGUACGUGAGCCCUGGCUAACUAAGCCAGCCUAACUCCUUCCAGAAGCACAGAAGCUUCCUGGGUACUUCGCAGGCUUCACGGAGCGACGUCACUGUUCCGAGGAUUUCUGUACGUUGUUUAGCCACAGCCUCGCAUUCCAGGACUACGUGGGUGACUUUUUCCUCUGUUGCAACAUAUUGCAAAAUUGUUUAAAUUAACAACAAUAACUCCUGUUAGAUUAACACAAGUUAUUAUUGAGUUUUAGGCUCCUAUGAAAUUAUCGUCACUAUAAUAAGAUAUGUAUUCCGGUUUAAAUUACUAAUAAUUGUACUAAUCAUAUACAUAAUUGGUUUA